GUUGAGACACUUGACAUGGACUUAGGGAUAGGUGGACUUUCGAGUGUUUGUUAACCCUAGUUGACAGGAUAUCCUCAGUUGGCGAGGAUUGGAUCAUACUCACAUAGUCUGUUUUGAGCUUGUGGUGGUCGCUCCACACAAGCAGUGCACUCCGGAGUUGUCACACGAGCGGGGUAGCUCAUCGGGUGGGAUACGAGCGGGGUAGCUCCUCACCCAUUGGACUGGGACGUGAGUUGGGGUGAAGGGCGGGGUAGCCUUUCCCCUAUGAGAUUGAGCGGGGCAGCUCAUUAUCUAUGAGAUUAGAGCGGGGUAGCUCUUCAUCUAUGACCUUUGAGAUGCGAGACGGGUGAGAUAAGAGCGGGGUAGCUCCUCACCUAUGAGAUUUGAGAUAUCAGUCGGGGCGAAGAGCGGGGUAGCUCUUUACCUCUUCACCUACUAGAUUGUGGUGUGAGUACCUAUGAGAUUUGAGAUCUUAGGCGGGGUAGCCUAGUGGAUUGGGUAAUAACAUGAAUAACAUAAGUGGAUUUGCAUUCAUCCCCUGAUUAAACAUAGUAUAUGUUAGUGGAUUGCAUAACUAUGUUGUAUUUGUAUUCAUUACAUUGUUAAAGCAUAUUAUCAUGAUAGUAGGCUUAUUGCUAGACGAUAUUUCAUGCAUUGCUUGCAUUUGAUGGCACAAUAGAUCAUAGUUGCAGUUCAAUAUCUAUCUAUCUCUCUAUCUAUCUAUUUGUGCCAGCUUAGACCUAGUGGGAAGAUCGGCGGAGUCGGCGGCCGAACCCACUGGGAACUAUAUUUUUAUAGUUCUCACCCCGUGUGGUUUUGGGGUACAGGUACACACGUGAGCGGACCGGCAGGUGAUCGCGGUAAGGGCGUAGCGCCCUAGCUAGCUAGUAGAGCUUUCCUAUUGUACUAGAGCACCCUCGUGUGCAUGGUUAUAGAUGACAUGAUGUAUUUGGGAUAGCUAGCAUUAUAUAUAUGUGAGAUGAUUAUGUAUUCAUUUUGGAAGCUUAAAUGUAAUCAAGUUGUAUUAAAGGUUGAAUGAAUGUCAAAUGUGAUGUAAUAGCCAGUUUAUAUCUCUCUUCUAUUUCACUUGUAUAUUUAUUACUCGUAAUGCUUGCUCUUGGUUGUUCAGCACUGUUUGUGCUCUCUCUAUUGUUGUUUGAUCAUGUAUGUAUUCAAGUUGAUUUCCUGGAAACUUGUUGUACACCAUCGCGUUGUUUAGCCUUGGGCGGACAGGGGAGGUGCUGUUCGUCCGGCGUCUGUCUGACGCGCCCGAACUGGACCAAAUUGGUAGCGGUCUCGGGGCGUGACAUUAUAGGUCUUCGGUUAUGUGCUACGGUGCUCGGAAUCCAACUUCAUAAUUUUCGGACGUCGCCUCGGCCCUCCAAGCGGAAACGAAGCUCCGAACGUCCGUUUUCCCUAUAACUUCGCGUAGGCUCGACGAAUCAUCGAACCGACUUCGCCAACGCGUUCGUGUACUUAGCAAUUAGGUUUGGUUAAUUUAGAUCAAACCCCAACACAUAGCAAAACCUCCAUUUGAACCCUAGAUGCUCACUAUUGCAAAAAUCCACUAUUUGGACUCUAGAUUUAAGCAAUUAACAUCUAUUUAGUAUCCUAGGAUUCAUCUAAAUCCAUUUAUAGGGUAUACAAACCGUUCUCUAGCAAUCUACCAUUAUUGGACAACAAGCUUACCUCAAUAAGCUAGCUUCAACCCAAGGAAGAAGAUGGAGAAGGUGAAGCUUCACUUCCUUUGCUUCUUCUCCACCAAUCCCUCUCCUCCUUUCCUUCCUUGAUGAGAGAGAAAGAGGGUUUAGAGAGAGAGAGCUAGAGAGAGAGCUAGGGUUGAGGGAAAGUAAGAAAGAGAGAGAGCCAUCGCCUCUCUUUAUCUCCCACUCAUGCAACAAGUGGAACUAACCCCCUCAACUUUUAGCUUCACCAAUAGCCCGAAAUGGGCAUUUUUCGCUCUCGGGAUCUGGACCUUGGAGUCAGGGUCCGGACCCCGUAGGUCCCGAAAAACUGCAAAUUUCAGCUUUCGCUGAUUUCGCUCCGUUUUGGUCCGUUUUCACUCCGUGGGUCUCCGAUUCACUUCUAAUCGAACCGAGACUAUCCAAACAUGUUUUCGAGCGUAAUUACAUCAUCUUUUUAUCCACGCUAAUGCCGGAUUUAGCUCAUGGCCCAACAUAGCCUUUCGGGUUUCGUUUUCGCGCCUACGCACUCCGGAAACGCCUUAAUGCUUUCGAACUUCACCGGAACCAUUCCAAUGGCUCUCCAACCAAAUGUACGCCGUAACUUCAUAAUUUUAGAAGUCCGGUACCUUACAAAUCUAAUCUUUAAUCUUAAGAACGAUAAAAAAUCAGGUUCACGUAGUCAUAACGAGAAUAAUCAUAAGUGAAUAUGAGAAAAUAUCUAACUCCUUGCUAGGCCCUCACAUUCAUUGGCCCACAAAUGUCUGAAUAAAUCAAAUCUAAAGCAUGGGCAGUAUACGGCUUUACCAAAAGGCUUCUACAUGCCUUUCCCGCCAGACAAGAUUAGUACACAGCUAGAUCAAUCUUGACAACAGACUCAAACAGGCCUACUCUAGCCAGUCGAUUCAUUUGAUCUUGACCUUUAUGGCCUAAUUUGUCAUCCUAUUUGACGAAUACAACACACGAAUUAUCAUCAGAAGAAGUAGUAACUAAUGCAAGUGGAUUGUUCAUUAAAUCCAAUCUAAAGAAGUCAUCAAUAAAUGUACUAUGUCUAAAGAAAGUACUAUUAAACAAACUAGUAAGGUGGUCACUAUCAAAAAGAAAUGAAUAUACUAAACUCAACAAAACUGAAACUAAUACUAGAUUACACUGAAUUCCAAGAGCGCAUAGCAUGUCUUGAAGAAGUAAAGUGUGGCCAUUGUGCAACUUGAGCUAGUACUGUGAGGUACCGGACUUCUAAAACUAUGAAGUUGCGGUGUACAUUUAAAUGGUUCCGGUGAGGUUGCGGUGUAAUGUAAUAUACCGGAUUUAGAUAUAGAAAUAAGUGUAAAUAAAAAUAGUGUUAUGAGAUGGGCUAAGGUAUAAUUGUGCAAAUGAGAGGGGCUAAGGUGUAAUGGUGCAAGUAAUUGAGCUUACUUGGAGGGCAAGUUUUCUAUGUACCUAUGUAAAUGAGUUUACUUGUUGGGCAAGUUUCCUAUGUAAUUGAGUGAAUCCUUGCCUUUUUCCCCAAACCGUAGGAGAGAGAGAGGAUGGAUUUUCUCUCUUUUUCUCUUUGACUUUAUGACCUCUCUUUCUCUUUGGUUCUCUUUACCAAAGAGAGGAUUAGAGAAGAAAGAAAAUUGAGGCAAGCUUGAAGAAAAUUGAAGUAGCUUGGAGUUGAAGCUUCAUCUUUAUCUUCUCCUUCCUUGGUCUAAGUGGAAGCUUGUGUUGAGGUAAGCUUCAUGAACCUCUAAUGGUGGAUUGCUAGGGAAUAAUAUAUAUAUCCUAGAAAUGGAUUUAGAGGACUCCCUAGAUGCUAAGUAAAAGCUAUUUGCUUGAAUUAAAGGCUAAUAUGGCUAUUCUUGCAAUAGUAGCAUAUUAGGGCUUCAAAAUGGGAUUUUUGUAAAUGAGGGGUUUUGAUCUAAAUUGAGUGGUCAGAAACCUAAUUGCUAUGUCUCCGAAUGCGUAGGAAGCGACGGUUUGUCGAUUCGUCGAGCCGGUGAGAAGUUAUUAAAGAAAUAGACGUUUAGGCUUCGUAUCCGCCUGGAGGGCCAAGGCGGCGUCGGAAAAUCGUGGAAACGGAUUAGAAGCAUCGUGACAAGAAACCGAAGACCUUUAAUUUCCGGAUCGCGGAUCGGAGGUCAUUUGGUGGUCGUGCGUGGUUUGGGUCGAGCCGAGCGGCGUGCGCCGCGGGAGGCCGAUUGCGAGUGGCGACGAGCAAUCGGAACGCGAUAAAAGGUGGGGGAGUGCCAUCCCGAAGUCAUCGGGCUUCUUCCUAUGUCUUAGUACUUAUCCAUUCACAUGUAGCAUAUUGUAUACCGAUACCUUGCAUUAUAGGAUGACAAUAUAUGCAUUCCUAAUCCUUAUAUGAUGUUUAUGAUCAAUAUAGUAUUAUGAUAUGGAUAUAUGAUGUGAUGGACAUAAGGAUUAUGAGGUGACAUUGGUAAACCUAUGAUGCUAAAUGAAAGAAGAACCUAGUGUUGUGUUUAAAGACAUAGUUUACAAGUGGCAUUGAACUCAUUGUGCUAAAAACACAUAUGACUUGAGCUAGUAAUGGAUUGGUUGUUGCACUAGAAACUCUAGUAACAUUGAUCAAGUUGCAUAUUGGGAUAUUGCAUUAUAGGGUACUAGUUGGCAAUUGUUACAUGUCAUGGCAUGCUAGUGAGAGUGUAGUGUUACUUGAUUAAUACUUGUACCUAGUAUGCAUGAGAUUGGGACUUAGUGUGGUGAAACCCUAUAAGGGCAUGAUUAAUGUGGAUUAAACUUUGUUAAGUGCAUUAAUCGAUUAAGUUGCAUAUUGUAUUUAUUGCAUUUAGAUGCUAAAUGAUUGUGGUCAUUGCUCAUAUUUGCAUGCUAGUAGCUAUACAUCUUGAUGAUUGAUUCAUGAUCUAGUAUGCAUGAUGAUUAUAUGAUGAAAACCUUAUGAUAAAGACCUAGACCCUAUGUGAGAUAAUUAAUGCUUAUGUUGCUAAAGAACUAGUAUGAUGUAACUGGUGUUGAAAUGAGUCUAAAUGACGAGUGGCAUCUAGUUUAGAAAACUAUGAUGAGUGGCAUAUGAUUGUUGAUAACCUUGACAUGAGAACCUUAGUGUAGUUGAAACACUAUGAGAUUGGGUACAAGAACACCUUGAUUCCAUGAUGAGAUUACCCUUAGAGGGUAGGUUGAUGUUGUUCGUGAGUUGAUCAUGCUCACAUAGCCUGUCUGCGCUUGGUUUGGGGUCGCUCCCCACAAGCUGUGCACUCCGGAGGUUGGUCACUCGAGGGACAGUCUGUGUGCUGUCUGGACGGUCUGUGUGCUGUCCGCAGGCGGUCUCGGGAUGUAGUUCUGUGAGACUUUUCCCCUAUGAGACUUACACGUGAGAUAUGCUUGUGAACCCGUGUUCACUUUGAGAUUGGGUUACCUAUUGAGCCAUACCCAUUGUUGUUGUUCAUGAUAGCUUGCUUCCAUAGUUGUUGUUGUUGAUCAUAGUUGCCUUUGGCUUACCGGCUGAUUGGGUGGUCUAAUGAAUAGCCCUAUUGAUGAGCCUAGUGGUAUGGUAGUUAACCUUCACUAGACUUACCUUGAUAGCGAAAAUAGUCGCUUGGUAGUUGCUUAGACGGGAUUUUGCCUAUAUACAGUGAGUGGUAUACUAUCCUGUCGCGCUAUGAGAUAUUGAGUGGAUAAAUUCCUGUACCUAGUUUUGGAUUUGAGUCGGCAAAGUGCGGGUAGCCUUUGCCUAGGACCUAGAGAUGUGAGUCGGGCGAGAGGCGGGGUAGCCUCUUUGCCUGGGACUCACGAGAUUGGGUCAGACCUUUGAGAUAUGAGUCGAGUGAGACAAGAAUGAGGUAGCUUUUCACCUACUAGAUUUGAGAUCUUAGGCAAAGUAGCCUAGCGGAUUGGGUAAUAACAUGAAUACCAUAAGAGUAUAGCAUUCAUACCAUGAUUAGACAUAGUGCAUUGCAUAACUAUGUUAUAGUUGUAUUCAUUUCACUGUUGAGGCAUAUUAGCGUGUUAGUAGAUUGUUGCUAGAUGAUGUUCCAUGCAUGCUUUGCAUUUGAUGGCAUAGUAGAUAUAGUAGC
This 5719-nucleotide long non-coding RNA is filed under the name Ananas comosus (pineapple). RNAcentral describes it as "long non-coding RNA (ACOM_LNC015049)". The record is from RNAcentral. Lineage: Eukaryota; Viridiplantae; Streptophyta; Magnoliopsida; Poales; Bromeliaceae.